AUGGGUGAGGAGGUGCAGGCCAGACCGGCAGCGUGGGGAGGAGCAGUGAGCCAGGAGCCAGGGAGAGGCCAACAUCGGGGACAAGAAGCAGCGAGGCCAGCGGUCCGUCGGGGUGGUUUGGAGGGAGAGGGAGAGGGAGGAGGUCGGCCACGAGAGAAGGAGCAGGCCGGCCCUGCUUCGUCAUGGAGGAUGUCCAGCUGCUCGUCCUCCUCCGCCUCUUCUCCAAGCGUCCAUCCUAUCGCAACUCAGCUUCAGAAUUGGGUGCGUAUGAACAAUGCAAUGGAGGUUAUGUUAAUUCCUAGAGUCUUCUAUGUUCUUUUGUCUCCUGGUGAUUACUUCGAGUGGCUAUGUGAGGUUUUUCAGUUUUCGACUCUAUGCAAUUCUUGGUGCAAGGGCCCCCGCUUCCUUGUUGUGACGUUGCAGCCUUACUGGCCCUUCUGCAGGUAUGUACAAGCGCCUCUGGCAUACCCUCGAGAAAGAAAGCGAAGGAUAAAUGGAGGCCAAGGAUGGUUGCCGUUUUUUGUAUAUUGUGAUGGCUUCAACCCUGAAACAAGAAUAGAAGGGAGCCUGAGAACACUCAGCUUGUGCCAUGGGUCAUCCAACUUCUUGUUUAUUAGGCUACUGUUUGAUAAAAUGUUUCCUGACGUCCGGACCGGUCAUACUUUUGCAAGGUUAGAUGUGUUCUUAUUGAUGCACUUCAUUGCUUCUUGCUACAUGCUCUGUUUGCUUUGUUUCAUGGCCUAUCACUUGUUCUUGUCUGGUGAGAUUAUGAUACAUGCGAGGAUUGUUGUGUCCAACCUGCACAAGAAUGCCAAGAAAUCCUCAGAGACGUGUUCAAAAAUUAUGGGCUGUGGAUGCAGGAUUAAGGACAUGUACCUGCACUACAACGAGAGAUCUGGGCUGCUUCUUUGUGGCUUCCAAACUUGA
Molecule: ribosomal RNA, 927 nt
Filed under: Triticum aestivum (bread wheat)
Lineage: Eukaryota; Viridiplantae; Streptophyta; Magnoliopsida; Poales; Poaceae
Description: partial small subunit ribosomal RNA
Source: RNAcentral